GAAAAUUUGGUUUUGGCACUAAUUUUUUUUGUUUUUUGGGAACUUUUUUUUUCUGCCAAAUCUUUUUUCAUCUCAACAAAAAUAUUUCACUUAUUCAACCUAGAAAAAAAAAGUAGAAGCUCGAUUCUUUUCCAGUCAAAACUCCGGCGAGUUUACCCACCCCUUCUGUUCUCAAUCCAACGACGCUUCUACCCGAAAAUCACAGACCCUAUCUAUUCUCUCUGCUUCUGCGAUUGGAGGCGAAGAAGAUCUGCUGCUACUCUUCAAUGGCGGAUAAGCUAAUCGUGGCAAGCGGCGAGCCUGUAGACGGGGUUCUCAUUUCGUGUUUCUAUCUUGAAGUAUCCAAGUCGGAGGGAUACGAAUCUGACACCAGGAUCUAGUACAAAGCAGAAGUAGAGGAGGAGGGGACAUGAAGAGAGUGAAAACCAGAACCCAAAUUUAGCCACGCCUCCAAGAUCAUGGCGAGCAGCACUCAAGUCAUCUUCCGCCAAGAAGAUGAGAGAGACGGCACCGAAGCUAAAGAGCACGCAAGAAAGCCAUUGCUGGAAGUGAGCAAAGAGAAGUUCCAUGAGUCCACAGACGUUAAAGGAAGCACCUUUAAAGAGAACCGUAGAAGGAAGAAGAGAGUGGAUGAUGCGGAGAACAUUCCUGUCUGUCUUAAUGAGGAGACGACUGUUGUAAAGAUGAAAGGAGAGGAGUGUAAAAGUUACAAGAUGAAAGGAAAGGAGAGGAGUGGAUGAUGGUUCGACGCUAAGAAACUGUUCAAGUUUCGUUAUGCUCUCUUGGAAGUUACAAGCUCUUGACACUGAGUGGCCUGAUGUGGAGUCUGUGAUCAAGGAGGUGGAAUGGUUGAAGGAAUUCAAUCUGUUUCCAAAAUUUGGUUCUUAUGCUUCAACUUCCGAGAGAUUGGACCAAGGCACAACUACUUGCAAAGGAGGACAAGCCAGAAAGCACUGAGUGGAGACUGAGCAUCGCUAUUCACUUGAACUUGAAUUGAAUCACAGCGUGUUUGGAUGAUAUAUCCUGGCAGUAGAAUGACUGAUGCUCUAUCAAUUUGUUUUUGUUUAUGUAAAUUUUGGAUAUGAAAAUUUUGGAUGAUAUAUGAAAUAAUGUAUGUUUUAUAAGUUUA
This is a long non-coding RNA of Raphanus sativus (radish), 1129 nucleotides long. RefSeq lists it as uncharacterized. NCBI's taxonomy places the organism in Eukaryota, Viridiplantae, Streptophyta, Magnoliopsida, Brassicales, Brassicaceae. The record is from RefSeq and is a predicted model, not a curated record. The transcript is spliced from 6 exons.